Molecule: ribosomal RNA, 1286 nt
Filed under: uncultured bacterium
Lineage: Bacteria
Description: partial 16S ribosomal RNA
Rfam family: Bacterial small subunit ribosomal RNA
Source: RNAcentral
GAGUGGCGGACGGGUGAGUAACGCGUGAGCAACCUGCCCUUCGGAACGGGAUAGUGUCUGGAAACGGACAGUAAUACCGUAUAACGUAUUUUUACCGCAUGAUAGAAAUACCAAAACUGAGGUGCUGAAGGAUGGGCUCGCGUCUGAUUAGAUAGUUGGUGAGGUAAUGGCUCACCAAGGCGACGAUCAGUAGCCGACCUGAGAGGGUGAUCGGCCACAUUGGAACUGAGACACGGUCCAAACUCCUACGGGAGGCAGCAGUGGGGAAUAUUGCACAAUGGGCGAAAGCCUGAUGCAGCAACGCCGCGUGAGCGAUGAAGGCCUUCGGGUCGUAAAGCUCUGUCCUCAAGGAAGAUAAUGACGGUACUUGAGGAGGAAGCCCCGGCUAACUACGUGCCAGCAGCCGCGGUAAUACGUAGGGGGCUAGCGUUAUCCGGAUUUACUGGGCGUAAAGGGUGCGUAGGCGGUCUUUUAAGUCAGGAGUGAAAGGCUACGGCUCAACCGUAGUAAGCUCUUGAAACUGGAGGACUUGAGUGCAGGAGAGGAGAGUGGAAUUCCUAGUGUAGCGGUGAAAUGCGUAGAUAUUAGGAGGAACACCAGUAGCGAAGGCGGCUCUCUGGACUGUGACUGACGCUGAGGCACGAAAGCGUGGGGAGCAAACAGGAUUAGAUACCCUGGUAGUCCACGCCGUAAACGAUGAGUACUAGGUGUCGGGGGUUACCCCCCUCGGUGCCGCAGCUAACGCAUUAAGUACUCCGCCUGGGGAGUACGCUCGCAAGAGUGAAGCUCAAAGGAAUUGACGGGGACCCGCACAAGUAGCGGAGCAUGUGGUUUAAUUCGAAGCAACGCGAAGAACCUUACCUAAGCUUGACAUCCUUUUGACCGAUGCCUAAUCGCAUCUUUCCCUUCGGGGACAGAAGUGACAGGUGGUGCAUGGUUGUCGUCAGCUCGUGUCGUGAGAUGUUGGGUUAAGUCCCGCAACGAGCGCAACCCUUGCCUUUAGUUGCCAUCAUUAAGUUGGGCACUCUAGAGGGACUGCCAGGGAUAACCUGGAGGAAGGUGGGGAUGACGUCAAAUCAUCAUGCCCCUUAUGCUUAGGGCUACACACGUGCUACAAUGGGUGGUACAGAGGGCAGCAAAGUCGUGAGGCCAAGCUAAUCCCUUAAAGCCAUUCUCAGUUCGGAUUGUAGGCUGAAACUCGCCUACAUGAAGCUGGAGUUACUAGUAAUCGCAGAUCAGAAUGCUGCGGUGAAUGCGUUCCCGGGUCUUGCACACACCGCCCGUCA